UACGUAGGUCCCGAGCGUUGUCCGGAUUUAUUGGGCGUAAAGCGAGCGCAGGUGGUUUAUUAAGUCUGGUGUAAAAGGCAGUGGCUCAACCAUUGUAUGCAUUGGAGACUGGUAGACUUGAGUGCAGGAGAGGAGAGUGGAAUUCCAUGUGUAGCGGUGAAAUGCGUAGAUAUAUGGAGGAACACCGGUGGCGAAAGCGGCUCUCUGGCCUGUAACUGACACUGAGGCUCGAAAGCGUGGGGAGCAAACAGG
RNAcentral lists this ribosomal RNA (252 nucleotides) under uncultured bacterium. RNAcentral's name for it is "partial 16S ribosomal RNA". It matches the Rfam family "Bacterial small subunit ribosomal RNA", at positions 524 to 776 of the family's 1533-position model. The record is from RNAcentral.